GGAUUUGAGGGAGAUCUGGCUACGACAUCUGUCACCCCAUUGAUCACCAGGGUUAAUUCAGAUGAUCUGGCUGGUUAGGUGGGUGUCCCCUUCCUCCCUCACCGCUCCAUGUGCGUCUCUCCUGAAGCUGCGCAUUUGGUCAAGAAGAUGGCCUUCCCAGAAUAGAGACAGACCAGUCUUCAGUGGAGGGUAUUGAGUAGCUGCACUCCCCUGCCAGACCUCCCAACAAGCUCUCAAGAAGGUGAAUUCACCAUGAGCCUGAGACUUUGGAGCCUCAGGAAUACAAGUCACUUUGCAUAACCAUUAUGCCAU
This is an unclassified non-coding RNA of Erinaceus europaeus (western European hedgehog), 312 nucleotides long. Its record names the gene 7SK. It matches the Rfam family "7SK RNA". From Rfam's summary of the family: 7SK was discovered as an abundant small nuclear RNA in the mid-70s but a possible function has only recently been suggested. Two independent studies have found that 7SK RNA binds the CDK9/cyclin T complex (known as elongation factor P-TEFb). NCBI's taxonomy places the organism in Eukaryota, Metazoa, Chordata, Mammalia, Eulipotyphla, Erinaceidae. The record is from Ensembl.